RNAcentral lists this long non-coding RNA (7465 nucleotides) under Zea mays. Its description in RNAcentral is "long non-coding RNA (ZMAY_LNC000170)". The record is from RNAcentral. Lineage: Eukaryota; Viridiplantae; Streptophyta; Magnoliopsida; Poales; Poaceae.
AUAGAGCACGGCUCGCACUAAUGUCCAUGGCGGCCGCCGGCCGGGGCCCGGCGGUUGCGUUGACUCGGUCUAGGUCGAAGCAGCCACACACCCACACCGUCAGUCCGUCACACAGUGCUAGCUAACGCUUCUUCUGACUUUGGCAUACGUGUCAUCAUCUGUCAUCUCCCAAUCCUAGCUGUUCUUGUUCUGGAGCCCAAAUUGGAUGGCAACUGGCUGUGGAAGGCCUCAGCAGGAGCAGUCUAAUGGGUCUCUGAAAGUAGCUGUCACUGCUAACUGAAGGCGAUUAGGUGCACGUUUACUGUGUAAUCCUUUAUCAUAAAAAAACUGUUUUUUACUUCUGCUUGUACCUUUUGUGUUUUAUACUCUAUAUUUAAAUAUAAAUGAAAAUCAUUACAAUGUACAGGUACUUUGUUAAUAAUAUUCAACUAAGGUGAUGAGAAAAGUUUCAUAGUUAUGACACUCUCCGGCGCUUCACUCUCACCCUUCCUCUAGCCGCCUUCUCCAGUCUCCACGUCCCUCCACUCGUCCAACGGUGCCCCCUCACGAGUUCAAGACCGAGCUCGCCUACGCACCCUUCGGACAGAGGAGUUUCAAUCUCCUCCUUCCGUGAAUUAGUAGUUUUAACUACAAAACCAAUCUUUUUAAAGUUUUAAUAUCUGAUAAAAAUGUAUAGUAUGUUACUAUAAAUAUUGCAUAAUUUUUUAAAACUUCAAAAACUAAUGUAUAAAAGUCACUAGUGACGUGUUCGUACAUCUCUAUGGUUUUUAUUUAUGCUUGGAUAUAGAGUAUAACAUACUCUAUCUGUUUUCUAUCUUAAGAUCACGAAGGUAUGUCUUAAAUCAAAUAUUUUCAACUUUGACCGAUAAUAACAAAAUAUGUAUAAAUAUUGACUAAAUAAAAAUGAAACUAUUAGAUUUAUUAUUAAAAUACCACAAUAUAUAAUUUCUGUAAUUGAAAAUUAUUUAUUUUUAUAGAUAUUGUUGUCAAUAUUUUAAAACAUUAACUUAGGACAUACUUUGUGAUCUUAAGAUAGGGAACGAAGGGAGUAUGUGUGUUCUACCGACUACAUGGGUUCGGUGUGAAUAUGAGUUUUGAACCAAUCCCACUUUUGCAUAAUUUUAGAUUUUUUACCAUUUAAAUGUUAAGGAGCGAAAGGGGAAGUGACGCACGAUGAUGGAACCGUGGAAACUAUAUAGUAAGACAAAUAACAUUAAAGUAAGUAGUGUAAUAUCAUUAAAGUAUACACUAGUCACUCGUGUGUGCCAGCGCACACAUGUAAGCAGUGUAAUAUGUAUAGAAAUAGUAUUAUAGAAAUGAUAUUUUUAGAGGAAAAUAGUUGAAUUAAAAUAGAUGAUAAGCAUGCAAAUUUGCUCCAAUAAUUACCUGGCAUAUGUUGUUGAUCGGUUGGAGCAAAAUUCUAUUUGAUGUAAGGUUUAACAGUUAAGGACUGAUAAUAGAUAAUAUGCCAACAAUUGAGAAAUAUACAUAGAUGCAUAAGUAGAAAAGAUUGUUAGAUGUAGUCAGGAAUAAAAGGAACACAUAAGUCUUGUAUAAUAUUUAUGGGACAAACAUUGUGUUAUCACAUGUUUAUAUCUAAGCAGAUUGCUUACCAGUGCAUAGUAGCAAAAGAUGGUUGCCACAUAUUUACAUAUAAGUAGGUCGUUCAUGACUACAUAGUAUCAUAAGAUGUAUCUAAGAAGAUUGUUUAUCAGUGCAUAGUAGCAAAAGGUGGUUGCCAGAUAUUUGCAUCUAAGUAGGUUGUUAAUGACUACAUAGUAGCAUAAGAUGUUGCUGCGAUGAAUAUGGGAACUGUGCGUAUGCAUAUCCGGACGGUCCAGCGUAAGAGGCCGAAUGGUCCGCGACCUGGCCAAAUGGUCCGAAGGUAUAUCCGGAUUGUCCAGCCGUAUAUGGUGCUACGUGGGUAGUCUCGUACCCAGACCGUCUGUCGUAAAGAACUGGACGGUCCGCGAUCGGGCCGAAUGGUCCAGGGCUGUACCCGGACGGAUCGGCCAUAUAUGGCGCGAUUUGGGUAGUCUGCGCAUGGACUCGUGUAGAGUCGGAUGGUCCAGCGUAAUACGUCGGCCGGUUCAUGCCAUAUCCGGACGGUCCGGUGUAAGAUGGUGGACGGUCCGCAACAUAUCCGGACGGUCCGGCGUGAUGCACCGGACGGUCCGUGAUGGGACCGAAGUGUUUAGGGUUGUACCCUGAUGGUCCGGCCAUGUACGGUGCGACCUGAGUGUUUUGUGUGUGGGCCUGCUUCUGGUCGGACGGUCCGGCGAAAUACGCCGGACGGUCCGUGGUAUAAUCGGAUUGUCUGAGAUGAUGCUCGGACGGUCCGGUCGCGUCCAGUACCUGCCGCGUGCCUAGUGGUUGCGGCUGUGAUGGUGACACGAAAGCGUGCAUCGGCAUACCAUAUGAUGGCUGGGUCAAGGGUGACCCGUUUAUAGCCGAUGUGUUUGACGUGGGUGGCACUGUAUUAGACUCUUGCGAUGGAAAGUUAGGAGCAACUGAUUUCUCGUAUGCACGUAAAUGCAUUUUAAUAGAUUCAUCUACAUAUUGCUUUAACUGAUCUCCUCGUUGAUCCAUGAAAGUCGUAAGAGAUAGGUCUGGAGUACUUACAGCGGGACCCUGAAGUGGAGGUAGGAGAGAUUCCAUAUCGAUCUCCCCUUGACGGACGAUCUUCUGGUGGCGAUCUACCGUGAAGUGUGACAAGUACUUGUCCGCCGCCUCCUUGCGCCAUUCGGAGAGUUUAUGCAGCAGUUCCGCCUCUUCCUUGUCGCGUUGUUCGUUCCAUUGCCGCAUCACCUCCUUCUCAUCGCGCAUUACGAGGUCUUCAAAGGGCCUUUGGUCAUCAGCCGGGAGCGCCUCCAUGGCCGACUUGAUGAUGUUGGUAGUGGAGAUCUUGGUGUGAUCCUUAGAACCGACCAUUUAUGGGCCGAUUUUUAGCAGAUCUAGACACCUAAUCCCCAGCGGAGUCGCCAAAAAGUAUGUUGACACCCUUUUGGAGGCGCCAAUUACUCAAAAGAACCAGCGGCGGUGCUCUUUGGCCAGGCGCUAGAGAUGGCAAUGGGUACCCGAAACCCGAAACCCGAUGGGUUUUUACCCCAUUAGGGUAUGGGUUUGGGUCAAUUUUCAUACCCAUGGGUUUGUUAACGGGCAUAAAUCUAUACCCAGCGGGUUUAUGGGUACGAGUUUGUUCCUAUAGUACCCAAACCCGUGAACCCGUGAGUUUUUUAAACCCGACCAAACCUAGUGCAUAUUGUCAUUUUAUUUUAUAAACGAACAACAAACUUGUUAUUCCUUAUUUACUUCAUAUUUUUUAUCAAUUGGUGAAUGUAUCAGUAGUCGGUGAGAGUGUUGCUUGCUUGAUAUUAUAGUUUUUACUAGCGUUAUAUAUGUGGUGGAUGGAUAACUUAGUGCAAGGUCACUUAAUUAUACAACUUAUUAUUUGUAUUUUAUUCUCUCUACUAAUAAUUUUUAUACCAAAUCAUGAACUCGUUGAUCAUUACAUAGAUUUUGGAUUAUAAUAUCAUUAAUCAUUACGAUACUUAUUGAUUAUGAGAAGAACAAGUAUAUUAGAGAUGAAACCCACGGGUAACCCAUGGGUACCCGUUAACCCGAUGGGUACGGGUUUGGGCAAAAUCUCAAACCCGUCAUGGGUACGGAUUUUUUAAUGGGCAUAGAUAUUUUUCACGGGUACGUGUUUGAGACGAUAAAACCCAGCGGGUUUGUACCCGUUGCCAUCUCUACCAGGCGCAGACGGUCCGCGGCACAGGGCCGGACGGUCCGCGACCUGGCGUGAGGCGGAGGUGCUCUCUGGUCAGGCGCGGACGGUCCGCGGCACAGGGUCGGACGGUCCGCGACUUGGUACAGGAGCCCGGGUUCCCUGCCUGACGGCCGGACGGUCCGCGCCCUGGGGUUGGACGGUCCGCGCGUGCGCAGGGGCUGCGAAGGAUCGCCGGCGGCGCCUGGAUCUCGCUCCCGGGAGGGACCCCAUCGGGGAGGAGAGAUCCUAGGAGUUGUCUAGGCUCGGGCAGGCCGACCUAGACUCCUCUAAUCGACGUAGAGUCGAGGAGAGGCGGAGAAUUUGGGGGAUCGAGAGGCUAAACUAGGGCUAAACUAGAACUAGACUAGAACUACUCCUAAUGCAUAAGGUAAAAAACGAGUAAUAGACUGGAUUUGAUCGAUUGUUGGGGGUUCAAUCGGCCGUAGCCCUUCAUCUAUAUAAAUGGGGAGGUCUGGAUCCGUUUCCAACUGUUUCCCGAGUUAAUCCCGCGGUUUUAGGUAACAAAUCCCGCGAGAAACUAGAAACCCUAAUUGACUCUGCGCGCGCGCGGACCGUCUGCGCCACCACCACGGACAGUCUGGACCGCGGACCGUCCGGCCUCAGGGCCGGACCGUCCGCUAGGCUCUUUUUAGCCUUCAACAAUGUGGAACACCAAAUGAUGUUAAACUUGAGGUCGAUGGUCAUGAUUUAAUAUAAUGGAUAUUGUGCUUCUUUUGUCUUUGAAUAAAAGUGCAAUUAUGAUUUACGCCCCCCCCCCCCGCCACCUUUAUGAUUUUGGGCCUUCUUUUUUAAAACGAAAAACAAGUGUAGGCUUGUUUUGUUAGAGUUGCUUGACGGAGAGAAGAAUAGUGCUAGAGGAUGUUUAUUGCAAAAUAUAUGGAGCACCAAAAGAUGUUAAUUUGAGAUAGAUGAUCGUCAUUUAAUAUAUGUACCAUGUGCAUUAUAGAGCUUGUUUAGUUUGCUGCUUAAUAUGCCAUGACAGAACAGACACACAUAGCAAUCAUCCAAACACGCGCCAACUGCGGUCAACGGAACGCCGCGGACCUGAAUGUAGCCAACCAAUCACCCGGAUAGUGAAGAUGCAGGGCCACAUAAUGUUCCUAUGGUCAAGGUUCAACCCUGGAGCUUGAGGAGUGACUGAGUGAGGUGCGAGAUAAUUUGGCGCUCACACACAAACUACUAACCAACCUCUGGGCUCUGGCUCUCUUCCUUCUGCCUCUCCUCCACAGAAGAGUCAGUCAUCGCAACUCACACGAGCAACUUGACCAGCGAGUCACAGUCAGAGUCAGCGCAGGCCGCUCCCCUUCGGCUUAUCAUAUAUUCCACAGGCGCGCGAGCUAUGUCACUCACCGGGCCAGAGCCAGAGAAGCGGCAAAGCAGAGAGUCGGCGAGGACGAGACUACGAGUGGAGGAGGAGCGCGUGUGCUUUGGUUUGGAGCGAGCGAUGGUGUUCGCGUCCGGGUCCGCCGCCGGCGGGCCGCAGGUGCUGACGGCGCGGUUCGUGCGGCAGGUGGUGCAGGGCCGGUGGUUCAUGGUGUUCGCGUGCCUGCUCAUCUUGUCGGCGUCGGGCGCCACCUACAUCUUCAGCAUCUACUCCGAAGUGCUCAAGUCGACGCUGGGGUACGACCAGCGCACGCUCAACACGCUCUGCUUCUACAAGGACCUGGGCGCCAACGUGGACGUGGGCGUCAUUUCGGGCCUCAUCAACGAGGUCACGCCGCCGUGGGUGGUGCUCGCCAUGGGCGCCGCCAUGAACCUGGCGGGCUACCUCAUGAUCUACCUCGCCAUCGACGGGCGCACCGGCAGGCCCCCCGUCUGGCUCAUGUGCAUCUACAUCUGCGUGGGCGCCAACUCCCAGUCCUUCGCCAACACCGGCGCGCUCGUGACCUGCGUCAAGAACUUCCCGGAGAGCCGCGGCGUCGUGCUCGGCCUCCUCAAGGGCUUCGUCGGCCUCAGCGGCGCCAUCUUCACGCAGCUCUACCUCGCCAUCUACGGCGACGACGCCAAGUCGCUCGUGCUGCUCAUCGCCUGGCUCCCCGCCGCCGUCACCAUCCUCUUCGUCCACACCGUCCGCAUCAUGCCGUACCCGCGCGCCAGCCGACGCCGGGGCCCGUCAGCGGCAGCCACCAGCAACGACGCCUUCUUCUGCUUCCUCUACAUCUCCAUCGCGCUCGCGACCUACCUCCUCGUCAUGAUCGUGGUGCAGAAGCAGGUCAACUUCUCGCACGCCGCCUUCGCGGUCUCGGCCGCGGCGCUGCUCCUCAUCCUCUUCCUGCCGCUCGCCGUCGUCGUCAAGCAGGAGUACAAGAUCCAGAAGGAGCUGGAGGAGUCCCUCCGCGAGGACCCCACGGUGACCGUGGAGAAACCGGCCACCGCAGCUUCGCUGCAGCUGGUGGCAGCAGCAGCAGCAGCACCUGAACCAGCGGUGGCUCAGAGCAUGACUACGGGAACAGAGGCCAAGCGGUCCAGCUGCCUGGGGUCUUGCCUUCGGCACAUGUUCAGCCCGCCGGCGCAGGGGGAGGACUACACCAUCCUGCAGGCGCUGGUGAGCGUGGACAUGCUGGUGCUGUUCCUGGCCACCAUCUGCGGCGUGGGCGGCACGCUGACGGCGAUCGACAACAUGGGGCAGAUCGGGCAGUCCCUGGGAUACCCGGCCAAGAGCAUCAACACGUUCGUCUCCCUCAUCAGCAUCUGGAACUACGCCGGGCGCGUCACCGCCGGGUUCGCGUCGGAGGUGUUCCUGGCGCGGUACAAGUUCCCGCGGCCGCUCAUGCUCACGCUGGUGCUCCUGCUCUCGUGCGUCGGCCACCUCCUCAUCGCCUUCGGCGUGCCGCAGUCGCUGUACGUGGCCUCCGUGGUGAUCGGCUUCUGCUUCGGCGCGCAGUGGCCACUGCUGUUCGCCAUCAUCUCCGAGGUGUUUGGGCUCAAGUACUACUCCACGCUCUACAACUUCGGGUCCGUGGCCAGCCCCAUCGGCGCCUACGUGCUCAACGUCCGCGUCGCGGGGGCGCUCUACGACGUGGAGGCCGCCAAGCAGCACGGCGGCUCCCUGGCGGGCGGCGCAGACAAGACCUGCAUCGGCGUGCAGUGCUUCCGCAAGGCGUUCCUCAUUAUCACGGCCGCCACGGUCGCCGGCGCGCUCGUGUCGCUGGUGCUGGUGUGGCGGACCAGGAACUUCUACAGGGGCGACAUCUACGCCAAGUUCAGGGACAGCGCCGACGCGGACGCCGCCGAGGAAAGGGCGGAGGCGGAGAUCGGGUCAACGGAGGUUAACGGGAGGAAGCAGUAGGGUAGUAUAGUACAGAUAUAGAGCACGGCUCGCACUAAUGUCCAUGGCGGCCGCCGGCCGGGGCCCGGCGGUUGCGUUGACUCGGUCUAGGUCGAAGCAGCCACACACCCACACCGUCAGUCCGUCACACAGUGCUAGCUAACGCUUCUUCUGACUUUGGCAUACGUGUCAUCAUCUGUCAUCUCCCAAUCCUAGCUGUUCUUGUUCUGGAGCCCAAAUUGGAUGGCAACUGGCUGUGGAAGGCCUCAGCAGGAGCAGUCUAAUGGGUCUCUGAAAGUAGCUGUCACUGCUAACUGAAGGCGAUUAGGUGCACGUUUACUGUGUAGUCCUUUAUCAUAAAAAAACUGUUUUUUACUUCUGCUUGUACCUUUUGUGUUUUAUACUCU